UACGUAGGGGGCAAGCGUUGUCCGGAUUUAUUGGGCGUAAAGAGCGUGUAGGCGGCCAUGUAGGUCCGUUGUGAAAACUCGAGGCUCAACCUCGAGACGCCGAUGGAAACCAUGUGGCUAGAGUCCGGAAGAGGAGAGUGGAAUUCCUGGUGUAGCGGUGAAAUGCGCAGAUAUCAGGAGGAACACCGGUGGCGAAGGCGGUUCUCUGGGAAUAUCCUGACGCUGAGGAGCGAAAGUGUGGGGAGCGAACAGG
Molecule: ribosomal RNA, 253 nt
Filed under: uncultured bacterium
Lineage: Bacteria
Description: partial 16S ribosomal RNA
Rfam family: Bacterial small subunit ribosomal RNA
Source: RNAcentral